AGAUUGAACGCUGGCGGAAUGCUUUACACAUGCAAGUCGAACGGCAGCACGGGACUCAGGCAACUGAGCCCUGGUGGCGAGUGGCGAACGGGUGAGUAACAUAUCGGAACGUACCCAGUCGUGGGGGAUAACUCUCCGAAAGGAGAGCUAAUACCGCAUACGUCCUGAGGGAGAAAGCGGGGGACCUUCGGGCCUCGCGCCAUUAGAUGAGCCUAGGUCGGAUUAGCUAGUUGGUGAGGUAAAGGCUCACCAAGGCGACGAUCCGUAACUGGUCUGAGAGGAUGAUCAGUCACACUGGAACUGAGACACGGUCCAGACUCCUACGGGAGCAGCAGGUGGGGAAUA
RNAcentral lists this ribosomal RNA (345 nucleotides) under uncultured soil bacterium. RNAcentral's name for it is "bacterial SSU rRNA". It matches the Rfam family "Bacterial small subunit ribosomal RNA", at positions 26 to 363 of the family's 1533-position model. The record is from RNAcentral.